GCGACAGGCUCCGCUUUUUCCAUCCUCCCUGAGAUUCCGGCCAAUCUUUGGAUGUCGCGCAAGGAAGAAACUUUGAAACCUCGUCAAAUGACGGCGACGGGGGAAUAUGUCGAGAUGCGCGAGAGUAGCUUCGCAAUCAAUGCCUAUUGUCAAUUUAUCCUUAACUGGGACGAAUGUUCCAGUCUUAAUUAAUUACACAUUACCUCCCGCCAUUAUUUCUAAGAAAACUUCCUCCGGGGUACCGGGUGAAAGAAUAACCAAUUAUAUUUUAAAACCCUUUGUAGCUUCAGUAAUCUGAGCUAAACAACUUUUUACUAUCAAAAUUAAAACCAAUUAGAAAUUAUGAUAUAAUUCAAUGGUUUCAGAAAUAAUAAUAUAAUUUAAUGGUUUAACCAAUUGGGCAAUCAAAUAGCUCAGUAUUUUUUUAUUUGUGAUACUUUUGGAAGCAUUCUCCAAUAUGUUAUGGUAUUUUACAAGUUUUACACAUGUACGCACUUAGUUUCCUUGUUUUAUCUGCAGAACAUACGCGGCAAUUUCUUCUAACGAGUUUGUUAGCCUUAUCGCUGAUCAUUUUUUAGACGCGACAGGAAUUUUGAGACCCCUCAUUUUCCGUCCUUAUCGAAAUACCACCCUAGCACUGGAUGUCAGGGAAAGGAAAAAUGUAAACCUCGUCCAAGGACGUAACAGGGAUAUUUAUAGGAACGCGCGAAUGUCGCUUCGCUAAGAUGGUGGUUCAAUGAGCACCGAUCUUCAAUUGUCGCAUGUGACAUUUCGCUCGCCCCCUUCUUGACAUUUCCCAGACCGGGAUGGCAGCAAUACCGGGACAACGAUAUCAUUUGCACGCUCUGCUCGCCUUGCGAUAAGUAUUUCUGACAGACCCCCGAUAUGUUCCUGGUUCGCCUCCACCUGGUGGACUAGGAGGCAAAUGUCUGUACUUUCGAAAUGUUAAUCGUCUCCUGACAUAAGAGCGACAUGCGUGGUUGCCUGAACAAGUACUUCCUGAAUCGAGGUGCUAUUCACUUAGGAAAUCAUGGAUUUCAAUUGCUGCUUAUCAUAUGAAAUCAAAGACAAUCGGCCCUUAAAGGAAGGAAAUCGUUUUCACUGAUUUCCAGGUGAAUAGUUCCUUGCCAUAAAUCGUAUAGGCCGUACAAUUUAAUGAUGUCAUGACAAAUCGUACCGAAAAGGGAUAUCCUGAUGAAACCCUCGUGUUGUUCAGGGUACCUUAGUGCUCCAUCAGCAAAUCCUCAGCCGGGUAAUCGAAGCCUGACUGUAUCGGAGAGGCGCUAUCUCAGCCGUUAGAGAAAUACAUUCGAGGAAAAGGGAGGACAAGGAAUGAAAGAGCAAAAGGAAGAAGUCGACGUAGAUCCGCGGAAUAUCCUGGUUUCGGGGUUUGCUGCCACGGCACUUGACUCCAUUAUACGCAACAGAGCCAAAUCGGGGGUGUGACGUGCAGACCGGACACCCGGAAGAUUGUCAAUCAGUGCGACCUAUCUAGACUUGAUUACAACGCGGCGGGUCUAUUCAUCACGUUUGCAGCUCUCAGGACAGCUGUUUGAAUUUUUCCGACCGAGUUCGUUGGACCUUUUUCCAAAAGCCUGGCCAUACGAACUGGGAUUCCCCGGAAAAUGGGCUUUUUCGAGCAGAAAUUUUCUGAUAUUGAAAUAUCUAUGAGGGGUGGUGACUAUAGGCAGCCAAACUUUUAUGCCUGGACGUCAGAUUUUGAAGGGUGGUCUAGAAUGAAUUAUAUUGUUUAUAAAUAUUGAGCUUUUUGAAGGUUGCGUGGUUUCGGUUGGAGUGAUAAUGAACAUUGAAAUGUUUCUAGGACGUGGGAAGUAUUUAAUGGCGCACGUGGGUUCCUAACUUUUAUAUCUGGACUCUAGAUUUUCAUGGGUGGUUGGGAAGAAAUGAAAUUGUUUUUCAUUGUUAGGAAGCUAUUUGCUUCCUGCGUGUGUUGCAGGAAUGUUGAUAAGAAUAUUUGCCUGAUGUCAGAUUUUGACGACUGGUCUAGAAUGAAUUAAAUUGUUUAUAAGUAUUGAGAAGCUUUUUGAAGGUUGCGUGGUUUCGAUUGGAGUGAUAAUCAACAUUGAAAUGUUUGUAGGACGUGGGAAGUAUUUUAUGGCGCACGUGGGUUCCUAACUUUUAUAUCUGGACUCUAGAUUUUCAUGGGUGGUUGGGAAGAAAUGAAAUUGUUUAUCAUUGUUAGGAAGCUACUUGCUUCCUGCGUGUGUUGCAGGAAUGUUGAUUCGAAUAUAUAAACAUUAAUAAAAUGUCGCGUUUUGGUUCUUUCAACUUGUUGGAACUCUGAACUUUACAUGGUGGCCCCGAUAGGUAGUGACAAUGAGACACUUAAAAGAUUUUACAGCCUUCAAAAAGAUUCAUUGCGCCCUCUUGGUACAUAUAAUGCGUACAUUGAAGUAGGGAAACGUCUAACGAGCCGCAUGCUCUCUCAAAGUACUUCUUGAGAAUUUCGUCUCCUUCCUGGACUGAAAUUAAGUUCAAUCUUUCCCGUACUAAAGGCGUGAGGAAUCUCUGGGAGACCAUCAAACAUUUAUAGUACCUCAUUAUCAAUGACAAAAUGAAACCCUACGCAUCUCGUAUCCCGCGCAAAUACCUAGUAUUGUCACUAAUAUAAUGUACUCUUUGCAAUGUCAAUCAAUGGAUAAAAUUUCAUACAACAUUACGUUUAUAGUAUUUGAUCAUCAAUGACAAAAUGAACGGGCAUGCAUCUCGUAUCCCCCGGAAAUACCCAUUGUCACUGACAUAAUUGACUCUUUGCAAUGACAAUCGAUGGAUAAAGUUUUAUACAAGAUUACAUUACAGAGAGACAAAAACUACAGACGUCACGGAUCGACAUUCUUGUAAUGAGAAAGUGUUGAAAAGUAUUUUCAUUACUUCCGAACGUCAACGUAAUUUCUUUGGUCUUCACUAAUGAGGAAUUUUGGGAUGUCGAGAGAUAUAGGAGCUACACUUAAUUCAGCUUUUCUCGUUUGAUUACGAUUCGAAGCCUGACGGCUCACUUUAGAAUUUGCAAGACUUGGGCUUUCUUAACCAAGUAUCUGCACUCCAUUACAUUCUAGUAUUAUGACAUCAUCACGAUGAACUUUAUCCAUCCUACCUCGAGGUUGACGACGAAUGGUUACAAGCGAGAUUGAGACGUUCGACCGAACGCAAUGAAUGAUUCGCGGCAAUAAAGACUUUAUAUCCUCGAGUAAAAGAAAUGAUCCCAGAGUGUAGUUCCUUAAGUUUUUAUUGCGAUCCGUGUAAAACGACUGCAACGUUAAAAUCCCACCGAUAAACGAGCCCCUUCGAUCCGAUGCUGAAGCUAGAUGUCAUUUUGCUUGACACUUUCGUUUCGUCAUUCGGACGUUCACAAAAUCCGACAUCGAAUACAUGGCGAUUCAAUUAUGCUCGUCUUGAACCGAGAAUCACUUACAUAGUAAUAAUUUCUAUAUGCUAGCAUAGAUUUUCAUAUUUAAUUAUUGUGCACAUUUAAAAACGUAUUAGAGAAUUAGGAAAUAUUCGAUGUAAUUCAACCGAAAAUCACUUAUCAUAUACCAUUCAUAUUAUUCAUAUCAUAUAUAAUUACAUCGAAUAUAAUGGAUUAACCUUGUCACAGGAUAUUACAUGAAACAAAUACCAAUUCAAGUACUGAACAAUGUAAUUAUCAAAAUAUAUAAAAUUAUCAAACUAUUAAGGUUACUCAUAGAAUAAAAUGCAGCCAGUAAUGAUCAUUCCGAGCAACUUAUUUCUCCUUUUCCGAAUUAUCCUUCUAGGAUCGCGAUAUACAAUUAAUCCUAUCGCAAUUACGCG
This 3810-nucleotide long non-coding RNA is filed under the name Orussus abietinus. RNAcentral describes it as "uncharacterized LOC105694433". The record is from RNAcentral. Lineage: Eukaryota; Metazoa; Arthropoda; Insecta; Hymenoptera; Orussidae.